CAUUUUUUCGAUUUUGUUUUUUUCCUUUUUUUUAGAUAUGCUUAUGCGCUUUCAAAAAAUCACUUUCUAGUAUCAGACAUGGAAUUUAAUUUUCUUGUAUUACAAAAAUCUAACAUUCGCUACUGUGAUGAAGUUUCUGUUAGCUUAUCGGUGGUGUCGGGGUUCAAUCACGGGCACCUUAUUAACAAAAUGUUACCAGUUCC
Long non-coding RNA from Piliocolobus tephrosceles (Ugandan red Colobus), 203 nucleotides. RefSeq lists it as uncharacterized. NCBI's taxonomy places the organism in Eukaryota, Metazoa, Chordata, Mammalia, Primates, Cercopithecidae. The transcript is spliced from 3 exons. The record is from RefSeq and is a predicted model, not a curated record.